GAUGAACGCUGGCGGCGUGCCUAAUACAUGCAAGUCGAGCGAACAGACGAGGAGCUUGCGCCUCUAACGUUAGCGGCGGACGGGUGAGUAACACGUGGAUAACCUACCUAUAAGACUGGGGUAACUUCGGGAAACCGGAGCUAAUACCGGAUAAUAUAUUGAACCGCAUGGUUCAAUAGUUAAAGACGGUUUUGCUGUCACUUAUAGAUGGAUCCGCGUCGGAUUAGCUAGUUGGUAAGGUAACGGCUUACCAAGGCAACGAUGCGUAGCCGACCUGAGAGGGUGAUCGGCCACACUGGAACUGAGACACGGUCCAGACUCCUACGGGAGGCAGCAGUAGGGAAUCUUCCGCAAUGGGCGAAAGCUUGACGGAGCAACGCCGCGUGAGUGAUGAAGGUCUUCGGAUCGUAAAACUCUGUUAUUAGGGAAGAACAAAUGUGUAAGUAACUAUGCACGUCUUGACGGUACCUAAUCAGAAAGCCACGGCUAACUACGUG
Molecule: ribosomal RNA, 497 nt
Filed under: uncultured bacterium
Lineage: Bacteria
Description: partial 16S ribosomal RNA
Rfam family: Bacterial small subunit ribosomal RNA
Source: RNAcentral